This 206-nucleotide unclassified non-coding RNA is filed under the name Hevea brasiliensis (rubber tree). The record is from RNAcentral. Lineage: Eukaryota; Viridiplantae; Streptophyta; Magnoliopsida; Malpighiales; Euphorbiaceae.
CAUGAUCAUCAAGCACAGACAUGCUGCUUGUGGUACCUUGAGAUUUCCAGUUCUCCAAAACAAAUUCAUCUGCUUCUACGGUCUCCAAUGUCGUGACCUUCAAAGGCAAAUUCCUGCUACUGCCCAAUGAUCCUGACCUUCUACUUCCAGAUUCAGCCUUUUCAGAUUGAUGAUCAAUUCCAAUGGAUGAAUCCUUUUGAUGUCUC